Molecule: ribosomal RNA, 648 nt
Filed under: Bacillus sp. WSS2-49
Lineage: Bacteria; Bacillati; Bacillota; Bacilli; Caryophanales; Bacillaceae
Description: bacterial SSU rRNA
Rfam family: Bacterial small subunit ribosomal RNA
Source: RNAcentral
UGCAGUCGAGCGAAUGGAUUAAGAGCUUGCUCUUAUGAAGUUAGCGGCGGACGGGUGAGUAACACGUGGGUAACCUGCCCAUAAGACUGGGAUAACUCCGGGAAACCGGGGCUAAUACCGGAUAACAUUUUGAACUGCAUGGUUCGAAAUUGAAAGGCGGCUUCGGCUGUCACUUAUGGAUGGACCCGCGUCGCAUUAGCUAGUUGGUGAGGUAACGGCUCACCAAGGCAACGAUGCGUAGCCGACCUGAGAGGGUGAUCGGCCACACUGGGACUGAGACACGGCCCAGACUCCUACGGGAGGCAGCAGUAGGGAAUCUUCCGCAAUGGACGAAAGUCUGACGGAGCAACGCCGCGUGAGUGAUGAAGGCUUUCGGGUCGUAAAACUCUGUUGUUAGGGAAGAACAAGUGCUAGUUGAAUAAGCUGGCACCUUGACGGUACCUAACCAGAAAGCCACGGCUAACUACGUGCCAGCACGACCGCGGUAAUACGUAGGUGGCAAGCGUUAUCCGGAAUUAUUGGGCGUAAAGCGCGCGCAGGUGGUUUCUUAAGUCUGAUGUGAAAGCCCCACGGCUCACCGUGGCAGGGUCAUUGGAAACUGGGAGACUUUGAUGCAGAAAGAGGAAAGUGGAAUCCCAUGUGUAAGCG